ACUCAGCAAAACGUGUAGUGAUAGGUUCACGAUCCUUCAGGACCUCGGAGCGGUUAUCCGGGAGCUGGUACUUGCAGUUUAACCUGAAAUCAUCUGACGCUGCAACUUUUCACCCAUUCCCGUGUUUUCGUUCAUAUUAAGAAAAAGUCUGCAGGUGGUAAUUAGAAGGAAAAUGCAAACCACCCAGGGCUCAGUUUUCGGGGUAGGCACCUUUUUGCAAUUCAUCACGUUACCUAGAAAUUGCUCUCAUUUGUUGUUUUGUUUGACAUAGUUCUCUCUUUUAAAAAAGUGUGUCGUUUCACUUGGCUUCAGAAAAUUCACACUUGAGCAACAUGAGAAUGAACGAAAAUUCAUAGUUUUUAAUAUUUUAGUUUGAAAAAUUUCGGACACUGAAAAUUGUAAAAAUGCUACAAAGAAACCCCACUUAAGUCACUGAGAUGACCCCAACGUUACGAUGUCAUCUAAUCUGCUUUACUAGUUUUUCUCUCUCCUGAGAGCCCUGGGGAUGGCCCCCUGCCUGCUGCCCACAUCUAGCGAUGCCCCAUUGCGAGGCUGGGUGGAGGAGGACAGCCGUGCCAAAAGGGGGUCCGUAAGAAAUACCUUUCAUAACAACUUGCUCUGAUUUGAUGGGAAUAUUUUUGAAUGCUGAUUGUUAAUCCGGGGGCGGCUUCGACUAGUGAAAGCAGACCGCAACCUGGAACUCCUAUGUGUGUAAAUAUGUGUGUAUAUACGUGUGUGUAUAAAUUUUGAGUGUGUGUAUUUAAUAGGGGUGAAUAAUUUUAAGACCUGUAUGUAUGUUGGGCAUAGGUAUAGAAUAGAAUAUUAUUUAGGUAAAUGUGAUCACUUUUUUUUAUUAUGGGCAAAAAAGUGUUUCAGUUUAGGGAAAUAGUAUCAGUUCUAGAUGUUGGGAGCCUUUCGUUCCAAUAACCGAUGAGUUUACAAAAUGACUGUAAGACCCCGUGUACGUUAAUGAAUUCUUCUAGGUGGCACUUUUGCCACUACUUCAUGGAGGUAAGAGAAUACAGUAUCAUAAUUUUCCCCCCUCAGGGAAGCCGUACGUAUAAAAUUAGGCUAAUAUAUAAUAGUGACUUUCAUUAAAAUGACUAUGGAAACACAGUAGUACUUUAUGAAUCAGUAGUUCAUAUGGGAAGAGACCAUGCUGAUAAAACUGGAAGGAAUGUGACCCCAUUUAUUUUGUUUUUCAGGAGGUGGAGGUGGGUGUUUCACUGAAAAAUGACCAUCUGCCCACCAUAAAAAUAUUGGAUCGUUUUUUGAGAGAAACAGACUCGUAAAACUUGGAAUUGUGACACCGGUUCACUUUUCAAUAUUUCAGUUAUCAAGGGCCUCUGCGGGGAUGAGAAACAGUAAGAUCUUGCUGAAGAUUUUAUAGCUGGCUCAUUUCUAAAUACUCAGAACUCUUUGCAGGUUUACAAGAAUCUUUCAGUGCUGGCAGGACGGCAACUCUAACCCAUCCCUGAUACCUGCUCGACUUUCAAACCCACAGGUGGUGCUCGCUGAGACUUGCACUGCAUUUUGCAGCCCAGUCCUUACCUAAGGGGACCUUGGAGGAUCCCCUUGCAAAUAUUGGAUGCCCUUCCUCAGUGCUGCUCUGUCUUCUCUUGUUCCUGAGAUUUCUGCCUCCUCUCUGGACUUGACCUUUGCACCGUCAAUGUAGUGAGACUGCUGUGUUUUUUUGGGGGGGGGGCUCAAUCUCCCUCCAUUGUACACUGAAAACUGCCCUCAGGAAGGAACCCAGUCCCAACAGGGGUCUACAAUUAUGCUUUCCUGUGUUGGGAUUAUUGUUGCCUUGCAAGUUUCCCAGCUUGAUGGUGGUUUCCUGUACCAGUCUCUCAGUUCUGAUGGGAAUGAGGCAUUCCCACUGAAUCACCUCUAGGGGUCAGGGGUUAAUGGAAACCUGUUGGAGACCGUUGAAACUGCUGAAGGAUGCAAUAAACAAAUUUGGCGCAUGUGCAAAAGCACAACCACGAAGCAAUAGCUGUAUCAUUACCUGCAGCAGAUUUUGCUCAUUAACAUAUAUACCUUCCCUAAUAAGAGGCAUGUGGGCUAAAACCUAGGCGCCUCUGUUCAGGGGAACGGAGUGCCUCCUGGUCCCCCACUUUUCUAAAUGCAAGUGCCUUCUGUGCUUUGUUGUGCUGCCCGGUCCCUCUUCUGGGAUCUGCCGCCCCCAGCAGCGCUGGCCGGGCAGAGGGGCGCCCAGUGUGGGGCUGGAAGAGAAGGUCUGCCCCAGCAGAGAAAAAGGAAAAUGAGGGUCUGUCGUGAGCGGAGAAGAAGGGACGGUCGGCCACUAGCAGGAAACGGUGAAAGUACAGACGGCGGAAACCGUAGCCUUGCACCGGACGGAGUGGUGACCCCUCUACGUGGAAUAAUACAUGAGCCAGUGCAGCUGCCGACCUGCAGCCCCCCCUGAGCAGAGGUCAGCGUGGAGCUCAGGAGCGAGGCGGUUGGUCAUCUGGGAAAACUGACAGAAGAGGUCUUUGGAGAGUUAGAUUUCAAGGAAGUAAUGAAAACUCAGAUCACACGGCAGAACACUCUGACCUUUUGCUCAGAGACUGAUAAAAGUUCUUGCGCAAGCUCUGUAAAGAAACUCAGAGGUAAAACUCAGCUGCUAAUAAGUAAUUGAAGAUUUCAAAGGUCACAGCUCUGGCAACAAUUUAGUCUACAAGAAUCUGCAUCUAUGAGCCCAGCCCCUGGCCCUGACCGUGAUGAGGAUGCUCUCGGGAAUGACCGGGGAAUCUGUAAAGUACUCGUGUUCCUAAAAGGACCCACGAAACGGCAGUCUACCUGCUUAAAAUUCUCUGAGAUUAUCUUGGCGCUUCUGACUUUUUAGCGCACUCAAGGGCAAGGUUAAGAGGCGGAGUAACUGAGGGCGGAGAUCGGGGGAGACACGUCAUCACGUCAGCUAGAGCGCAGCUCACUUGGACUUCACAGCCGGGUGGCUCUAGAUGGUUUCUCCGCGAUCUGAAGCCAUAUUUGGAGUGAAGUUAGUCUGGUGGCUCAUACUUUUAGGAAAUACAUGUGAACAAGAACUCAUUACUGAACCUGUGGCAGAGAAGAGGACAUGGAAGUAGGACUAUAAAGUAGGAUCGCAGUCUCUUUCCCGAUCAGAAGGGGAAAAAAAUGAAAGACUUCUUUUCUGAUAAAUACAAUUGUAAGAAAUGUAUAUUUUUUUCUCAUAAAUCUCUCUCAUGAUUUACAUAUGGUAUCUUUAUAGCAUUACUUAGAAUAUACACAUGGCCAUACUCCAAAUUAAGUAACUGUUUAUGGGAAUAAAAUUGAAAAUCAUAGGCUAAACAAGACUUCUAAUACAUUGAAAAUAAUAAAUAUGAUUUCAACUGCUAGUGUCACAAAAUUGUUAUUGCCUCUUUUCCAUAAGAAAUAAAGAUGUGUGAUUUGUUAUAUGGAAUGAGCUACA
Sus scrofa (pig) is the source of this 3433-nucleotide non-coding RNA. Lineage: Eukaryota; Metazoa; Chordata; Mammalia; Artiodactyla; Suidae. The record is from RefSeq and is a predicted model, not a curated record.